AAGGGAGGCGAACGUGGGGAACUGAAACAUCUAAGUACCCAUAGGAGGAGAAAAUAAACAAUGAUUCCGUAAGUAGUGGCGAGCGAACACGGAAGAGCCCAAACCCAUGUCGUCUAGGCGACACGGGGGUUGUAGGACCACGACGUGGCAAGAUAGAGUCAAGUGGAACGCCUUGGAAAAGGCGGUCAUAGAGGGUGAAAACCCCGUACACGACUGACGAUUGAAGCCUAGUGGCAUCCUGAGUAGCGCGGGGCACGAGAAAUCUUGCGUGAAUUAGCGGGGCCCAUCCCGUAAGGCUAAAUACUCCCGAGAGACCGAUAGCGAACCAGUACCGUGAGGGAAAGGUGAAAAGAACCCCGAGCAGGGGAGUGAAAUAGACCCUGAACCCGUCUGCCUACAAGCGGUCGGAGCGUCGUAAUGACGUGACGGCGUGCCUUUUGCAUAAUGAACCUACGAGUUACCUUCCCCGGCAAGGUUAAGUACCUAAGGUACGGAGCCGAAGCGAAAGCGAGUCUGAACAGGGCGCCAAGUCGGGGGGGGUAGACGCGAAACCGAGUGAUCUACCUUGGCCAGGUUGAAGGUUGGGUAACACCAACUGGAGGACCGGAUGGGUAAGCGUUGAAAAGCUUUCCAAUGAGCUGAGGGUAGGGGUGAAAGGCUAAUCAAACUCGGAGAUAGCUCGUACUCCCCGAAAUGCAUUUAGGUGCAGCCUCUUUAUAGUAUAUCGUGAGGUAGAGCGACUGAUUGGAUGCGAGGGCUUCACCGCCUAUCAAGUCCAGAUAAACUCCGAAUGCGCGAUAUAUAUUUAAAGGGAGUGAGGGCGCGGGUGCUAAGGUCCGUGUCCGAGAGGAGAAGAAUCCAGACCACCGGCUAAGGCCCCCAAAUGAUCGUUAAGUUGAACUAACGAGGUCGGAUCGCAGAGACAGCUAGGAUGUUGGCUUGGAAGCAGCCAUUCAUUUAAAGAGUGCGUAACAGCUCACUAGUCGAGCGAUCUGGCGUGGAUAAUAAUCGGGCAUAAACGAUCUGCCGAAGCCGUGGAUGUCGCAAGACAUGGUAGGGGAGCAUUCCAUGCCGCGUCGAAGAUGAGGGAUGACCCUUGUUGGAGCGCAUGGAAAAGCAAAUGUAGGUAUGAGUAACGAUAAGGGGGGCGAGAAACCCCCCCGCCGAAAGACCAAGGUUUCCUGAUCAACGCUAAUCGGAUCAGGGUGAGUCGGGACCUAAGGCAAAGCCGAACGGCGCCGCCGAUGGAAGAAUGGGUUAAUAUUCCCAUACUGCCUCAUGGAGUGACGUGGAGACGGAGAAGUGACAGUCCUGCCGGCUGACGGAAUAGCCGGUUGAAGGGUGUAGAUAUUGAUUCCCGUAGGCAAAUCCGCGGGGAGAGUCGAACCUGAGAGUAUACGGAGCGCUUGCGCGACGUAAUAUGGACGUAACCAUGCUCCCGAGAAAAUCCGCUAAACUUAUCCAUGCGGCACCCGUACCGUAAACGGACACACGUGGUCGGGUUGAGAAUACUGAGGCGCUCGAGUGAUUCACGGUUAAGGAACUAGGCAAAUUGACCCUGUAACUUCGGGAUAAAGGGUCCUCGUCGUAAGGCGAGGCGCAGAGAAUAGGUCCAGGCAACUGUUUAACAAAAACACAUGGCUGUGCUAAAUGGAAACAUGAUGUAUACAGCCUGACACCUGCCCGGUGCCGGAAGGUUAAGAGGAGAUGUCAUCCGCGAGGAGAAGCGUUGAAUUGAAGCCCCGGUAAACGGCGGCCGUAACUAUAACGGUCCUAAGGUAGCGAAAUUCCUUGUCGGGUAAGUUCCGACCUGCACGAAUGGUGUAAUGAUCUGGACACUGUCUCAACCGUGAGCUCGGUGAAAUUGUAGUAUCGGUGAAGAUGCCGAUUACCCGCGAUGGGACGAAAAGACCCCGUGAACCUUUACUAUAGCUUUACAUUGA
This 1943-nucleotide ribosomal RNA is filed under the name Parabacteroides distasonis. RNAcentral's name for it is "bacterial LSU rRNA". It matches the Rfam family "Bacterial large subunit ribosomal RNA", at positions 172 to 2120 of the family's 2925-position model. Lineage: Bacteria; Pseudomonadati; Bacteroidota; Bacteroidia; Bacteroidales; Tannerellaceae. The record is from RNAcentral.